CAGCAUUUUUGUUCAGUGAAUCUUUUGUAAAUUGCUUUACAAUAGCAAAAGAAGUUCCAAUCCCGCAAGAGAGUUCACUCACCAGUGGGCUUCAUCAACAGACCAGGGCAAAGUCGGUCUUUCCCGCUACUACAACAUGCUACUUAACUAUGUCUGGAAGCCAUGGCUGCUGCCCUCAACAUGCUAAACUGAAACCCUCACAAAUAAAGUCACAAAUCAAGAAUUAACAUGGAUGGUGAUGGUGGCAAGGGUGCCUUCAUAAGG
Alosa alosa (allis shad) is the source of this 264-nucleotide long non-coding RNA. RefSeq lists it as uncharacterized. NCBI's taxonomy places the organism in Eukaryota, Metazoa, Chordata, Actinopteri, Clupeiformes, Clupeidae. The record is from RefSeq and is a predicted model, not a curated record. The transcript is spliced from 3 exons.